UUGCCUUAAAUAAGAUUGCUAGGGAAAUUCUACUGUAGAAAAAAAAACCUCAUUUAACCACAUAAUACUUCAUUAUAAACAAAAAAAAAUAUCCAAAAAAUUAAUAUUAAAAAUAAAUGUUUGGGGUGGACGGACACCCUUUUCACUUAGGUAUGAAAAAUAGAUAGUAGCCGAUUCUCAGACCUACUGAACAUACUAUUGAUACACAAAUAAAACCAAAAAAACAUAGCUGAAUAAUGUAUAGUAUUGUAUAGCUCUCAAAUAUAAUAAUAUUAAGUGUAUAAUCUAUGAUGUAUAGUGAGUAAGUAAGACAGGGACUUUUUGGCGGGAACGCGAGGAGUGAAGUUGUGUGAUGUGUUUUAUUUUGUAUAUUUAGUGUUUCUUCGGGUUUAAAUGUGUAAUAAUGGUGGUUUAUUAACUGUUUAAUAUCUGUGAAAGUGCACAAAUGUGGGAAAAUGAAACAAAGCCGCUGGACGUAACUUCUCGGGAUCCUCCAAAAAGUCCACUCAAAAAAACUGCCGGAAUGUUUUGGACUAUCAUUUCACGUCUCGGAGAAAUGGAGAAAUUGGAGAAGAACCACUUAAUAUCUUUUCACUUUUUGACGCGAGUGUCCGAUCUAGAUCCUGAGACAGAAGUACAGAAGGAACAAGUACAAGACAGACAAGACAGAAGUACAGAAGGCUGACAAAAAAAUCAUCACCAACCUCACAGGACACUUCGGCCUGACGUUUCGGGAAGGAUGAUGACAUUAACGGGCUACAAUGGGCUCCCGCUGAGUCAUAUCAUGAAUAAUUG
Long non-coding RNA from Bombyx mori (domestic silkworm), 795 nucleotides. RefSeq lists it as uncharacterized. The transcript has 2 exons. Lineage: Eukaryota; Metazoa; Arthropoda; Insecta; Lepidoptera; Bombycidae. The record is from RefSeq and is a predicted model, not a curated record.